This is a non-coding RNA of Oryctolagus cuniculus (rabbit), 2515 nucleotides long. The record is from RefSeq and is a predicted model, not a curated record. Lineage: Eukaryota; Metazoa; Chordata; Mammalia; Lagomorpha; Leporidae.
UGCUUACUUUUCUGAUGAGGCAACCAGAUCGAGAGAUUAAGUGACAUGCUAAAAACAGUCCUAAGCUGGUGAUUGACAAAACUGACAUUUCAACUCAGAGUUACCUGAUUUCAAAGCAGCUGAACUACUGCAACAAAUGAAGGGAAAGAAAGGUAGUGACUGCGCUUGGACAGAAUUGUGAGGGAGGCAAAAGUCAGUUUCGUGCUCUCAAGUCCUGGUCAACAGAAGCCUGUUUGGAAAGUAGUGUUCGAUGAGAAGAAGAAAGUCAGUUAAGGCCUCUCCUUAUUAAGAUUAAAGAUGACAGAAAAUGGCAGUCCUAGUUAAAACUGAUACCCGAUUCUAAGAAAAGGCGCAGUUGACAUGUUUAUCAUCUACCCAGAAUCUACUGCUUCAUAAUGGAAACCUCAGUGAGUGUCUUCCAAAUCUACGGAGCCAUGAAUAUUGGGAAGCAAAUGCCACUCUCAAUCCCAGAGAGAACUGAACAGAGCUCCCUGGCCAACCCAGCACAUGCCUCAGGGUAUUCACUGAAAAAGAAGACACUCCACUAAUCCUCAGAGGCAUAGAACAAAGGUAAAAGCCAUCACAGGGGGAAAAAAUAAACCAACAAGUAUCUCUGCAAAUGGCUAAAAAUAAAUGUAGCAAUUCAAGAAUAAGGAAGACAACAUGAUGUGCCCAAAGGGACACAACAGCUGAAUACUACAAUGUGAAGAAUGAAGAAUUGAAGAAAUGCCAGAAAUGAUUGGAAGUAAUCAGAAGCAAAUCCACAAAGAAAUCUGUACGUGACAUGAAAGAAAAGUUUUGCCAUGAAAUUGAGAUUUUUAUAGAGAAAUCAAAAUAAAAUAUUGGAAAUGAAGAAUUCAAUAGAACAAAUAAAAAAUGUGAUGGAAAGCCUUAACAGCAGACUUGGUGAGGCAGAAGAAAGACUAUCUGAGUUAGAAGACAAAUCUCUGGACAUUUUACAGUCCGAUAAAAAAAUAAGAAGUUAGAGAACUAAAAAACGAUGUUGGAGAUCUAUGGGAUGCUAUCAAACCACCCAAUAUAUGGGUCUUAGGAGGUCCUGAAGGCGUGGAAAGAGAGUAUACAUUAGAAGGCAUUUUUAGUAAAAUAAUCACAGAAAAACUUGCCUAAUUUGGAGAAAGGGAUGUCCAAGUACAGGAAGCACACAGUAUUCCUAAUAGACGUGAUCAGAAAAGAUCUUCACCAUGAUACAUUGUAAUCAAACUCUCCACAGUAAAUCAUAAAGAAAAGAUUCUAAAAUGUGCAUGAGAGAAAUGCCAGAUUGCUCUCAAAGGAUCUCCAAUUAGAUUCACAGCUGAUUUCUCAUCAGAAACCCUACAGGCUAGGAGAGAAUGAUGAGAUAUAUUUCAAGUCUUAAGAGGGAAAAAAAAACUGUCAAUCCAGAAUACUGUACCCUGUAAAGCUCUCAUUUAUGAAUGAAUGUGAAAUAAAUACCUUUCAUAACAAACAGAAAUUGAAAGAAUUUGUCACCACUCAUACAGCCUUACAUAUGAUGCUUAAGGAUGUGCUACACACAGAAACAUGGUCAUCACUUUGAAAGAAGGUGAAGGCAGAAAAUCUCCCAAUAAAGAUACAAAGGAAAUCUAAAAUAAACAUUAGUAAUAUUUAUGAAAAAACAGCAGGGCCAAGCUGUUACUUAUCAAUAGUAGCUAAAUGUAAAUGGUUUCAACUCUCCAGUUAAACCUUACAGACUGGCUGAAGGGAUUAAAAAACAAAAUCUUUAUUUGCUGCCUAUAAGAAACAGAUAUCCCCAACAAAGGUACACACAGACUGAAAGUGAAAGGAUGGAAAAAGAAUUUCCAUGCUAGCAGAAACCAAAAAAGAGCUGGUGUAGCCAUCUUUAUAUCAGUCAAAACAGACUUUAACACAACAUCUGUUAAAAGAGACAAAGAAGGACACUACAUAAGGGAUCAAUUCAAUAAGAAGAUGUGACUAUAAUAAAUACAUACACAACUAAUUACAGGGCACCUGGCUCUUUAAAAGAAAUGUUGAUGGAUCUAAAGGGAAACAUAGAUCCCCAUACAGUAAUAAUGGGGGACUUCAAUACCCCCACUUUCAGCAAUGGACAGAUCAACCAGACAGAAAAUCAGUGAGGAAACAGAAGAGUUAUUUGACCCAAUAGACCAAUGGACCUAAUGGAUAUCUAGAGAACUUUUCAUCCUACAGUUGCAGAAUACACAUUCUUCUCACCAGCACAUGGAACUUUCUCUAGGACAGACCACAGGCCAGGGCAUGAGCAACUCUCAGCAAUUUGAAGGAAUCUGAAUCAUAUCAUGCGUCCUCUCUGACCACAGUGGACUGCAGCUGGAGAUCAACAACUUGAGAGUCUUUAGAACAGUGGGUCAUAGAAGAAAUCAAACGAGAAAUCAAAAAACUGUUGAGAAACUUAUUUUUCCAUACUGUUUUUUGAAAUCUUGACUUAGUAUAGAGUUAAUCUUCUGCGUAUAAAAUUAACUGAAAACAGAUCUUGGAAAAAAAUAAGAAUGGGAAUAGGAGA